This 324-nucleotide unclassified non-coding RNA is filed under the name soil metagenome. Its description in RNAcentral is "partial contains 5.8S ribosomal RNA, internal transcribed spacer 2, and large subunit ribosomal RNA". The stretch from base 1 to 120 matches the Rfam family "5.8S ribosomal RNA", at positions 35 to 154 of the family's 154-position model. The record is from RNAcentral.
GAUGAAGAACGUAGCGAAAUGCGAUAAGUAAUGCGAAUUGCAGAAUUCAGUGAGUCAUCGAAUCUUUGAACGCACAUUGCGCCCCUUGGUAUUCCAUGGGGCAUGCCUGUUCGAGCGUCAUUUGUACCUUCAAGCUUUGCUUGGUGUUGGGUGUUUGUCCCGAGGGACUCGCCUUAAAGUAAUUGGCAGCCAGUGUUUGGUUUUGAAGCGCAGCACAAGUCGCGAUUCAAGGCUACACGCCCGCUUCCACAAGCCUUUUUUCACUUUUGACCUCGGAUCAGGUAGGGAUACCCGCUGAACUUAAGCAUAUCAAUAAGCGGAGGA